Long non-coding RNA from Cannabis sativa, 205 nucleotides. RefSeq lists it as uncharacterized. The record is from RefSeq and is a predicted model, not a curated record. Lineage: Eukaryota; Viridiplantae; Streptophyta; Magnoliopsida; Rosales; Cannabaceae. The transcript is spliced from 2 exons.
AGAAAACAACAACAUUUUUAACACCUACAGCAGAAAAGAAAUUAGUCGACAACUUUGUGGAAUCAUUGACAGAAAAUGUAAAACCAAUAAACGAGACCAUGUUCGAAGUCAUUGAACUAACCAGAUCAUGGGUCAUCAACCUCAAGGAGAAAACAUGCAGUUGCAACAGAUUCCAACUUGAUGAGUUACCGUGUGCUCAUGCGCU